ACUCCUACGGGAGGCAGCAGUGGGGAAUAUUGCACAAUGGGCGCAAGCCUGAUGCAGCCAUGCCGCGUGUGUGAAGAAGGCCUUCGGGUUGUAAAGCACUUUCAGUUGUGAGGAGGNGGGUGUCGUUAAUAGCGGGCAUCAUUUUGACGUUAGCAACAGAAGAAGCACCGGCUAACUCCGUGCCAGCAGCCGCGGUAAUACGGAGGGUGCGAGCGUUAAUCGGAAUUACUGGGCGUAAAGCGCAUGCAGGUGG
RNAcentral lists this ribosomal RNA (253 nucleotides) under uncultured bacterium. RNAcentral describes it as "partial 16S ribosomal RNA". It matches the Rfam family "Bacterial small subunit ribosomal RNA", at positions 335 to 578 of the family's 1533-position model. The record is from RNAcentral.